AGCGAACGUUAGCGGCGGGCUUAACACAUGCAAGUCGAGCGAGAAAGUCACUUCGGUGGCGAGUAAAGCGGCGGACGGGUGAGUAACACGUGGGCAAUCUACCCUUCGAUGGGGGACAACAUUCCGAAAGGAGUGCUAAUACCGCAUACGUCUAUUCUGUCUACGGAUGGAAUAGGGAAAGCAGGCCAAUUCUUGAAAGCUUGCGUCGAAGGAGGAGCCCGCGUCGCAUCAGCUAGUUGGUAAGGUAAUGGCUUACCAAGGCAAAGACGCGUAGCUGGUCUGAGAGGAUGAUCAGUCACACUGGGACUGAGACACGGCCCAGACUCCUACGGGAGGCAGCAGUGGGGAAUAUUGGACAAUGGGCGCAAGCCUGAUCCAGCCACGCCGCGUGAGUGAUGAAGGCCCUUGGGUCGUAAAGCUCUGUGGGGAGAGACGAAGAAGGUAAGGUUAAUACCCUUGCCGGUGACGGUAUCUCCUUAGCAAGCACCGGCUAACUCCGUGCCAGCAGCCGCGGUAAUACGGAGGGUGCAAACGUUGCUCGGAAUCAUUGGGCGUAAAGCGGGCGUAGGCGGUCUGACAAGUCGGGUGUGAAAUCCCUGGGCUUAACCCAGGACGUGCAUUCGAAACUGCCAGACUU
Molecule: ribosomal RNA, 637 nt
Filed under: uncultured bacterium
Lineage: Bacteria
Description: bacterial SSU rRNA
Rfam family: Bacterial small subunit ribosomal RNA
Source: RNAcentral